Molecule: ribosomal RNA, 494 nt
Filed under: uncultured bacterium
Lineage: Bacteria
Description: partial 16S ribosomal RNA
Rfam family: Bacterial small subunit ribosomal RNA
Source: RNAcentral
GACGAACGCUGGCGGCGUGCUUAACACAUGCAAGUCGAACGGUGAAGCGCCUUCCUUUUUGGUGGGUGUGGAUGAGUGGCGAACGGGUGAGUAACACGUGAGUAACCUGCCCCCUUCUUCUGGAUAACCGCAUGAAAGUGUGGCUAAUACGGGAUAUUCUGGGUCUGUCGCAUGAUGGGUCUGGGAAAGAUAUUGUUUCGGUGGGGGAUGGGCUCGCGGCCUAUCAGCUUGUUGGUGGGGUGAUGGCCUACCAAGGCGGUGACGGGUAGCCGGCCUGAGAGGGUGGACGGUCACACUGGGACUGAGACACGGGCCAGACUCAUACGGGAGGCAGCAGUGGGGAAUAUUGCACAAUGGGCGCAAGCCUGAUGCAGCGACGCCGCGUGAGGGAUGGAGGCCUUCGGGUUGUGAACCUCUUUCGCCAGUGAAGCAGGCCUGCCUCGUUUGUGGGUGGGUUGACGGUAGCUGGAUAAGAAGCGCCGGCUAACUACGUG